RNAcentral lists this long non-coding RNA (1394 nucleotides) under Homo sapiens (human). RNAcentral describes it as "long non-coding RNA NONHSAT042181.2". The record is from RNAcentral. Lineage: Eukaryota; Metazoa; Chordata; Mammalia; Primates; Hominidae.
AAUAUAAGUGGAGGCGUCGCGCUGGCGGGCAUUCCUGAAGCUGACAGCAUUCGGGCCGAGAUGUCUCGCUCCGUGGCCUUAGCUGUGCUCGCGCUACUCUCUCUUUCUGGCCUGGAGGCUAUCCAGCAUGAGUAUGCCUGCCGUGUGAACCAUGUGACUUUGUCACAGCCCAAGAUAGUUAAGUGGGGUAAGUCUUACAUUCUUUUGUAAGCUGCUGAAAGUUGUGUAUGAGUAGUCAUAUCAUAAAGCUGCUUUGAUAUAAAAAAGGUCUAUGGCCAUACUACCCUGAAUGAGUCCCAUCCCAUCUGAUAUAAACAAUCUGCAUAUUGGGAUUGUCAGGGAAUGUUCUUAAAGAUCAGAUUAGUGGCACCUGCUGAGAUACUGAUGCACAGCAUGGUUUCUGAACCAGUAGUUUCCCUGCAGUUGAGCAGGGAGCAGCAGCAGCACUUGCACAAAUACAUAUACACUCUUAACACUUCUUACCUACUGGCUUCCUCUAGCUUUUGUGGCAGCUUCAGGUAUAUUUAGCACUGAACGAACAUCUCAAGAAGGUAUAGGCCUUUGUUUGUAAGUCCUGCUGUCCUAGCAUCCUAUAAUCCUGGACUUCUCCAGUACUUUCUGGCUGGAUUGGUAUCUGAGGCUAGUAGGAAGGGCUUGUUCCUGCUGGGUAGCUCUAAACAAUGUAUUCAUGGGUAGGAACAGCAGCCUAUUCUGCCAGCCUUAUUUCUAACCAUUUUAGACAUUUGUUAGUACAUGGUAUUUUAAAAGUAAAACUUAAUGUCUUCCUUUUUUUUCUCCACUGUCUUUUUCAUAGAUCGAGACAUGUAAGCAGCAUCAUGGAGGUUUGAAGAUGCCGCAUUUGGAUUGGAUGAAUUCCAAAUUCUGCUUGCUUGCUUUUUAAUAUUGAUAUGCUUAUACACUUACACUUUAUGCACAAAAUGUAGGGUUAUAAUAAUGUUAACAUGGACAUGAUCUUCUUUAUAAUUCUACUUUGAGUGCUGUCUCCAUGUUUGAUGUAUCUGAGCAGGUUGCUCCACAGGUAGCUCUAGGAGGGCUGGCAACUUAGAGGUGGGGAGCAGAGAAUUCUCUUAUCCAACAUCAACAUCUUGGUCAGAUUUGAACUCUUCAAUCUCUUGCACUCAAAGCUUGUUAAGAUAGUUAAGCGUGCAUAAGUUAACUUCCAAUUUACAUACUCUGCUUAGAAUUUGGGGGAAAAUUUAGAAAUAUAAUUGACAGGAUUAUUGGAAAUUUGUUAUAAUGAAUGAAACAUUUUGUCAUAUAAGAUUCAUAUUUACUUCUUAUACAUUUGAUAAAGUAAGGCAUGGUUGUGGUUAAUCUGGUUUAUUUUUGUUCCACAAGUUAAAUAAAUCAUAAAACUUGAUGUGUUAUCUCUU